AUCGACGAUCAUGAUUAUGAUACGAAGAUGAAGAAGAUCAACGAGUUCAUCGACGACGGCGACAAGGUGAAGGUCACCCUGCGUUUCCGCGGCCGCGAGCUCGCCCAUGGCCAGCUCGGCAUGCAGGUGCUCCAGCGCGUCCAGGCUGACAUGGCCGAAACCGCCAAGGUCGAGCAGUUCCCGCGCAUGGAAGGCCGCCAGAUGCUGAUGGUGCUGGCGCCGAAGUGACCUUCUAAUUCCUCCCCGAGCUUGCUCGGGGAGGUGGCAGCGCGAAGCGCUGACGGA
This 285-nucleotide unclassified non-coding RNA is filed under the name Sphingomonas sp. YR710. RNAcentral describes it as "Long range pseudoknot". Lineage: Bacteria; Pseudomonadati; Pseudomonadota; Alphaproteobacteria; Sphingomonadales; Sphingomonadaceae. The record is from RNAcentral.